Molecule: transfer RNA, 71 nt
Filed under: Anaerolineales bacterium
Lineage: Bacteria; Bacillati; Chloroflexota; Anaerolineae; Anaerolineales
Description: tRNA-Gln
Rfam family: tRNA
About the family: Transfer RNA (tRNA) molecules are approximately 80 nucleotides in length. Their secondary structure includes four short double-helical elements and three loops (D, anti-codon, and T loops).
Source: RNAcentral
UGGGGAUUCGUCUAGCGGUAGGACGACUGACUCUGACUCAGUAAGCUCUGGUUCGAAUCCAGAAUCCCCAU